AUUGAACGCUGGCGGCAUGCCUUACACAUGCAAGUCGAACGGCAGCACGGGAGCAAUCCUGGUGGCGAGUGGCGAACGGGUGAGUAAAGUAUCGGAACGUGCCCAGUCGUGGGGGAUAACGUAGCGAAAGUUACGCUAAUACCGCAUACGAUCUAUGGAUGAAAGCGGGGGAUCGCAAGACCUCGCGCGAUUGGAGCGGCCGAUAUCAGAUGAGGUAGUUGGCGGGGUAAAGGCUAACCAAGCCGACGAUCUGUAGCUGGUCUGAGAGGACGACCAGCCACACUGGGACUGAGACACGGCCCAGACUCCUACGGGAGGCAGCAGUGGGGAAUUUUGGACAAUGGGCGAAAGCCUGAUCCAGCCAUGCCGCGUGCAGGAUGAAGGCCUUCGGGUUGUAAACUGCUUUUGUACGGAACGAAAAGGUUUGGCCUAAUAAGCUGAGCUCAUGACGGUACCGUAAGAAUAAGCACCGGCUAACUACGUGCCAGCCGCCGCCGUAA
This 500-nucleotide ribosomal RNA is filed under the name uncultured bacterium. RNAcentral describes it as "partial 16S ribosomal RNA". It matches the Rfam family "Bacterial small subunit ribosomal RNA", at positions 30 to 523 of the family's 1533-position model. The record is from RNAcentral.